This 429-nucleotide ribosomal RNA is filed under the name Actinomycetes bacterium. RNAcentral's name for it is "Actinobacteria bacterium partial 16S ribosomal RNA". It matches the Rfam family "Bacterial small subunit ribosomal RNA", at positions 355 to 776 of the family's 1533-position model. The record is from RNAcentral. Lineage: Bacteria; Bacillati; Actinomycetota; Actinomycetes.
UAGGGAAUCUUCCGCAAUGGGCGAAAGCCUGACGGAGCAACGCCGCGUGAGUGAUGAAGGUCUUCGGAUCGUAAAACUCUGUUAUUAGGGAAGAACAAAUGUGUAAGUAACUAUGCACGUCUUGACGGUACCUAAUCAGAAAGCCACGGCUAACUACGUGCCAGCAGCCGCGGUAAUACGUAGGUGGCAAGCGUUAUCCGGAAUUAUUGGGCGUAAAGCGCGCGUAGGCGGUUUUUUAAGUCUGAUGUGAAAGCCCACGGCUCAACCGUGGAGGGUCAUUGGAAACUGGAAAACUUGAGUGCAGAAGAGGAAAGUGGAAUUCCAUGUAUAGCGGUGAAAUGCGCAGAGAUAUGGAGGAACACCAGUGGCGAAGGCGACUUUCUGGUCUGUAACUGACGCUUAUGUGCGAAAGCGUGGGGAUCAAACAGG